Molecule: ribosomal RNA, 441 nt
Filed under: uncultured bacterium
Lineage: Bacteria
Description: bacterial SSU rRNA
Rfam family: Bacterial small subunit ribosomal RNA
Source: RNAcentral
CCUACGGGGGGCUGCAGUGAGGAAUCUUGCACAAUGGGCGAAAGCCUGAUGCAGCGACGCCGCGUGCGGGAAGAAGGCCUUCGGGUUGUAAACCGCUUUUCUGGGGGACGAGCAAGGACGGUACCUCAGGAAUAAGUCCCGGCUAACUACGUGCCAGCAGCCGCGGUAAUACGUAGGGGGCAAGCGUUAUCCGGAAUCACUGGGCGUAAAGGGCGUCUAGGCGGCAAGGCAAGUCUCGCGUAAAAGCUCCCGGCUCAACUGGGAGAGCGCGCGGGAAACUGCCUGGCUAGAGACUCGGAGAGGGGUGUGGAAUUCCCGGUGGAGUGGUGAAAUGCGUUGAGAUCGGGAGGAACACCAGUAGCGAAGGCGGCACCCUGGCCGAGUUCUGACGCUGAAGCGCGACAGCGUGGGGAGCAAACGGGCUUAGAUACCCCGGUAGUC